RNAcentral lists this ribosomal RNA (494 nucleotides) under uncultured bacterium. Its description in RNAcentral is "bacterial SSU rRNA". It matches the Rfam family "Bacterial small subunit ribosomal RNA", at positions 8 to 507 of the family's 1533-position model. The record is from RNAcentral.
AGAGUUUGAUCAUGGCUCAGAAUGAACGUUGGCGGCGUGGAUUAGGCAUGCAAGUCGUACGCACAGCUUCGGCUGUGAGUGGCGCAAGGGUGAGUAAUGCGAAGGUAACCAACCCUGGAGUUGGGCAUAACCGCGGGAAACUGCGGGUAAUUCCCAGCGAUGUCUCGAGAUGGCAUCAUCUUGCGACCAAAGGUGUGAUUCCGCUCUAGGACGGGCCUUCGUGGUAUUAGGUAGUUGGUGAGGUAACGGCUCACCCAAGCCGACGAUGCCUACCGGGUGUGAGAGCAUGACCCGGCACACUGGAACUGAGACACUGUCCAGACACCUACGGGUGGCUGCAGUCGAGAAUCUUCGGCAAUGGGCGAAAGCCUGACCGAGCGACGCCGCGUGAGGGAAGAAGGCCUUCGGGUUGUAAACCUCUUUCGUAGAGGAGGAAGGGGCCGUGCAGAGCGGUCUUUGACCUAUUCUAGGAAGAAGCUUGGGCUAAGUUCGUG